RNAcentral lists this ribosomal RNA (256 nucleotides) under uncultured bacterium. Its description in RNAcentral is "partial 16S ribosomal RNA". It matches the Rfam family "Bacterial small subunit ribosomal RNA", at positions 524 to 776 of the family's 1533-position model. The record is from RNAcentral.
UACAGAGACUGCAAGCGUUAUUCGGAUUCACUGGGCGUAAAGGGUGCGCAGGCGGCCAAGUGUGUGAGGCGUGAAAGCCCGGGGCUUAACCCCGGAAUUGCACCUCAAACUACAUGGCUAGAGCAUUGGAGAAGGGUGAGCGGAAUUCACGGGUGUAGCAGUGAAAUGCGUAGAUAUCGUGAGGAACACCAGAGGCGAAGGCGGCUACCUGGACAAUUGCUGACGCUCAGGCACGAAAGCGUGGGGAGCAAAAGGG